GACGGAGGAUGCAAGCGUUAUCCGGAAUGAUUGGGCGUAAAGCGUCCGCAGGUGGCAGUUCAAGUCUGCUGUCAAAGACCGGGGCUUAACUUCGGAAAGGCAGUGGAAACUGAACAGCUAGAGUAUGGUAGGGGCAGAGGGAAUUCCUGGUGUAGCGGUGAAAUGCGUAGAUAUCAGGAGGAACACCGGUGGCGAAGGCGGGUCUCUGGGCCGAUACUGACGCUGAGGAGCGAAAGCAUGGGUAGCGAACAGG
RNAcentral lists this ribosomal RNA (253 nucleotides) under uncultured bacterium. Its description in RNAcentral is "partial 16S ribosomal RNA". It matches the Rfam family "Bacterial small subunit ribosomal RNA", at positions 524 to 776 of the family's 1533-position model. The record is from RNAcentral.